GGAUGAAGAACGUAGCGAAAUGCGAUACGUAGUGUGAAUUGCAGAAUUCAGUGAAUCAUCGAAUCUUUGAACGCACAUUGCACCUCUCGGUAUUCCGGGAGGUAUGCCUGUUCGAGCGUCAUUUGUACCCUCAAGCUCUGCUUGGUGUUGGGUGUUUGUUCCGCCUCUGUGUGUGAACUCGCUUCAAAACAAUUGGCAGCCGGCGUACUUGUUUCGGAGCGCAGCACAUUUUGCGAUCCAGAUCAACGUACAGCGGCAUCCAAGAAGCCUUAUUUAACGCUCUUGACCUCGGAUCAGGUAGGGAUACCCGCUGAACUUAAGCAUAUCAAUAAGCGGAGGA
Molecule: unclassified non-coding RNA, 340 nt
Filed under: soil metagenome
Description: partial contains 5.8S ribosomal RNA, internal transcribed spacer 2, and large subunit ribosomal RNA
Rfam family: 5.8S ribosomal RNA (bases 2-121)
Source: RNAcentral